This is a non-coding RNA of Vicugna pacos (alpaca), 498 nucleotides long. NCBI's taxonomy places the organism in Eukaryota, Metazoa, Chordata, Mammalia, Artiodactyla, Camelidae. The record is from the annotation of a RefSeq genome assembly.
GAAGAUUCCACCAAAGGAUCAAGAAACUAGUGGAAUAGUUCUCCCAGCUUUAGUGAACCUUCCGCUGCUUCACUGCAAGCCAUGCUCUCUGCUUCCUGCUCAGGACUUGUGAUCUUGUUGAUACUGAGAGGGACCAGUGGAGACACGGUGACCCAGACAGAAGACCCUGUUAUCCUCCCCGAGGGAGCAUUUCUGACUCUGAAUUGCACUUACGAGACUAGCUAUUCAGACUUCCUUUUCUGGUAUGUCCAGUAUCUAAACAAAGGGCCUGAGCUCCUCCUGAAAAGCUCAUCAGAAAAUCAGAAGGUGGUCCGUGGAGGUUUUCAGGCCACUCUUGUCAAGAGUGACAGGACCUUCCACCUGCAGAAACCGUCCGUGCAGAUGUCAGACUCGGCCGUGUACUACUGUGCUCUGAACGACACAGUGAGAGGGGCUGCAGGGGGAGCUGAGCACAAACCCGGAGGCGCAGAUCAGCACUCAGCCAGUGAUUCAGAAUGA